Molecule: long non-coding RNA, 165 nt
Organism: Poecilia latipinna (sailfin molly)
Lineage: Eukaryota; Metazoa; Chordata; Actinopteri; Cyprinodontiformes; Poeciliidae
Exons: 2
Source: RefSeq, a predicted model, not a curated record
AGAGAGGACACGUCACGCAGAGAUACCACUGGAAAUGCGGCAGAGAGAUGGAGCAAAGGAAGGGAACCUUUGGAGAUGGUUUGAGAGGGAUGAUGAUCCAAAAUUGAAGUUUACCUAUGGAUGGCUUAAGAAUAAAAAAUGUGUGGGAAAAAUAAAGUUUUGAAG